AUUGAACGCUGGCGGCAGGCCUAACACAUGCAAGUCGAGCGGAUGAAGGUAGCUUGCUCCUGGAUUCAGCGGCGGACGGGUGAGUAAUGCCUAGGAAUCUGCCUGGUAGUGGGGGAUAACGUCCGGAAACGGGCGCUAAUACCGCAUACGUCCUGAGGGAGAAAGUGGGGGAUCUUCGGACCUCACGCUAUCAGAUGAGCCUAGGUCGGAUUAGCUAGUUGGUGGGGUAAAGGCCUACCAAGGCGACGAUCCGUAACUGGUCUGAGAGGAUGAUCAGUCACACUGGAACUGAGACACGGUCCAGACUCCUACGGGAGGCAGCAGUGGGGAAUAUUGGACAAUGGGCGAAAGCCUGAUCAAGACAUGCCGCGUGUGGGAAGAAGGUCUUCGGAUUGUAAAGCACUUUAAGUUGGGAGGAAGGGCAGUAAGUUAAUACCUUGCUGUUUUGACGUUACCAACAGAAUAAGCACCGGCUAACUUCGUG
RNAcentral lists this ribosomal RNA (484 nucleotides) under uncultured bacterium. RNAcentral describes it as "partial 16S ribosomal RNA". It matches the Rfam family "Bacterial small subunit ribosomal RNA", at positions 30 to 507 of the family's 1533-position model. The record is from RNAcentral.